UAUUGCACAAUGGGGGAAACCCUGAUGCAGCACCGCCGCGUGAGUGAAGAAGUAAUUCGCUAUGUAAAGCACUAUCAGCAGGGAAGAAAAUGACGGUACCUGAGUAAUCAGCCCCGCCUAACUACGUGCCAGCAGCCGCGGUAUUACGUAGGGGGCAAGCGUUAUCCGGAUUUACUGGGUGUAAAGGGAGCGUAGACGGUAAAGCAAGUCUGAAGUGAAAUGCCAGUGCUCAACACUGGAACUGCAUUGGAAACUGUUUGGCUGGAGUGCAGGAGAGGUAAGUGGAAUUCCUAGUGUAGCGGUGAAAUGCGUAGAGAUUAGGAGGAACACCAGUGGCGAAGGCGGCUUACUGGACUGUAACUGACGUUGAGGCUCGAAAGCGUGGGGAGCAAACAGG
Molecule: ribosomal RNA, 397 nt
Filed under: uncultured bacterium
Lineage: Bacteria
Description: bacterial SSU rRNA
Rfam family: Bacterial small subunit ribosomal RNA
Source: RNAcentral